GGACCGGUGGCAGAGCUUGGUGAUUGCAGCGCUGAAGUGCGGGGUGCCGCGCACACGCGGCGGCGCGAAGGCGUGUGGGGCCACUGGUGUGCCAUGCCCCACCGGGGGUUCGAAUCCCCUCCGGUCCG
Molecule: transfer RNA, 128 nt
Filed under: Micromonospora taraxaci
Lineage: Bacteria; Bacillati; Actinomycetota; Actinomycetes; Micromonosporales; Micromonosporaceae
Also listed under: 1 other name
Description: tRNA-Leu
Rfam family: tRNA
About the family: Transfer RNA (tRNA) molecules are approximately 80 nucleotides in length. Their secondary structure includes four short double-helical elements and three loops (D, anti-codon, and T loops). Further hydrogen bonds mediate the characteristic L-shaped molecular structure. tRNAs have two regions of fundamental functional importance: the anti-codon, which is responsible for specific mRNA codon recognition, and the 3' end, to which the tRNAs corresponding amino acid is attached (by aminoacyl-tRNA synthetases). tRNAs cope with the degeneracy of the genetic code in two manners: having more than one tRNA (with a specific anti-codon) for a particular amino acid; and 'wobble' base-pairing, i.e. permitting non-standard base-pairing at the 3rd anti-codon position.
Source: RNAcentral